GCAUCAAGCAAUGUACAUAUGUAUGUAGCAGUCAUGUUGGCUUCCGUGAUCAAUUCUUCUUGCGUUGAUGUGUCUUUUCACAACACAAUUGGAACAUGCUGAUCAACUUGCUGCUGCUGGAAGUCUCCAUCCUAUUACCUCAUCCUGGAUGGUGUACCAAGGACAGCAUAUGAAGGAGCAGUAAUCUCC
This is a long non-coding RNA of Eucalyptus grandis, 189 nucleotides long. RefSeq lists it as uncharacterized. Lineage: Eukaryota; Viridiplantae; Streptophyta; Magnoliopsida; Myrtales; Myrtaceae. The transcript is spliced from 3 exons. The record is from RefSeq and is a predicted model, not a curated record.